Molecule: ribosomal RNA, 441 nt
Filed under: uncultured bacterium
Lineage: Bacteria
Description: bacterial SSU rRNA
Rfam family: Bacterial small subunit ribosomal RNA
Source: RNAcentral
GAUGAACGCUGGCGGCGUGCUUAACACAUGCAAGUCGAACGGGAUCGGCUGGAGCUUGCUCCGGCCGUGAGAGUGGCGAACGGGUGAGUAAUGCGUGACCGACCUGCCCCAUACACCGGAAUAGCUCCUGGAAACGGGUGGUAAUGCCGGAUGCUCCAGUUGACCGCAUGGUCCUCUGGGAAAGCUUUUGCGGUAUGGGAUGGGGUCGCGUCCUAUCAGGUAGUCGGCGGGGUAACGGCCCACCGAGCCUACGACGGGUAGCCGGCCUGAGAGGGCGACCGGCCACAUUGGGACUGAGAUACGGCCCAGACUCCUACGGGAGGCAGCAGUGGGGAAUAUUGCACAAUGGGCGCAAGCCUGAUGCAGCGACGCCGCGUGCGGGAUGACGGCCUUCGGGUUGUAAACCGCUUUUGACUGGGAGCAAGCCCUUCGGGGUGAGUG